UACAGAGGGUGCGAGCGUUAAUCGGAUUUACUGGGCGUAAAGCGUACGUAGGCGGCUUUUUAAGUCGGAUGUGAAAUCCCUGAGCUUAACUUAGGAAUUGCAUUCGAUACUGGGAAGCUAGAGUAUGGGAGAGGGUGGUAGAAUUUCUAGUGUAGCGGUGAAAUGCGUAGAUAUUAGAAGGAAUACCGGUGGCGAAGGCGGCCACCUGGCUUGAUACUGACGCUGAGGUGCGAAAGCAUGGGGAGCAAACAGG
RNAcentral lists this ribosomal RNA (253 nucleotides) under uncultured Acinetobacter sp. Its description in RNAcentral is "partial 16S ribosomal RNA". It matches the Rfam family "Bacterial small subunit ribosomal RNA", at positions 524 to 776 of the family's 1533-position model. The record is from RNAcentral. Lineage: Bacteria; Pseudomonadati; Pseudomonadota; Gammaproteobacteria; Moraxellales; Moraxellaceae.